GAUGAACGCCAGCUACAGGCUUAACACAUGCAAGUCGAGGGGUAACGAGAGGAAAGCUUGCUUUCCUUGUCGACGACCGGCGCACGGGUGAGUAACGCGUAUCCAACCUGCCUAUAACUAGGGAAUAACCUUGCGAAAGUAAGACUAAUACCCUAUGAUUUCCUUUGAUGACAUCAGAUUAGGAAUAAAGAUUUAUCGGUUAUAGAUGGGGAUGCGUCUGAUUAGCUUGUUGGCGGGGUAACGGCCCACCAAGGCAACGAUCAGUAGGGGUUCUGAGAGGAAGGUCCCCCACAUUGGAACUGAGACACGGUCCAAACUCCUACGGGAGACAGCAGUGAGGAAUAUUGGUCAAUGGGCGGAAGCCUGAACCAGCCAAGUAGCGUGCAGGAUGACGGCCCUAUGGGUUGUAAACUGCUUUUAUACAGGAAUAAAGUUAGCCACGUGUGGUUAUUUGUAGGUACUGUAUGAAUAAGGACCGGCUAAUUCCGUGCCAGCCGCCGCGGUAA
Molecule: ribosomal RNA, 506 nt
Filed under: uncultured bacterium
Lineage: Bacteria
Description: partial 16S ribosomal RNA
Rfam family: Bacterial small subunit ribosomal RNA
Source: RNAcentral